GGAAUAUCUUCGGAGAAAAAUGGCGUCAAGGAGGAUAAUCAAAGAGCUGAAGGAUUUGCAGAGAGACCCUCCGACCUCCUGCAGUGCAGGUCCAGUCGGAGAUAACAUGUUGCACUGGCAAGCCACCAUUAUGGGGCCUAAUGACAGCCCCUACUCCGGAGGUGUCUUCCUUGUCACCAUACAUUUCCCGCCGGACUAUCCAUUCAAGCCUCCCAAGGUAGCCUUCAGGACCAAAGUUUUCCAUCCAAAUAUCAACAGCAAUGGCAACAUCUGCUUGGACAUCCUCAAAGAUCAAUGGAGCCCGGCUCUCACUAUAUCCAAGGUUCUGCUAUCUAUAUGUUCACUGCUUACUGAUCCGAACCCUGAUGAUCCCUUGGUGCCUGAGAUUGCUCAUAUGUGC
Molecule: unclassified non-coding RNA, 400 nt
Filed under: Hevea brasiliensis (rubber tree)
Lineage: Eukaryota; Viridiplantae; Streptophyta; Magnoliopsida; Malpighiales; Euphorbiaceae
Source: RNAcentral